UACGUAGGGACCGAGCGUUGUCCGGAAUCAUUGGGCGUAAAGAGCUCGUAGGCGGUUCGUCGCGUCGGCUGUGAAAUCCCGGAGCUCAACUCCGGGUCUGCAGUCGAUACGGGCGGACUUGAGUACUGCAGGGGAGACUGGAAUUCCUGGUGUAGCGGUGAAAUGCGCAGAUAUCAGGAGGAACACCGAUGGCGAAGGCAGAUCUCUGGGCCGUAACUGACGCUGAGGAGCGAAAGCAUGGGGAGCGAACAGG
This 253-nucleotide ribosomal RNA is filed under the name uncultured bacterium. Its description in RNAcentral is "partial 16S ribosomal RNA". It matches the Rfam family "Bacterial small subunit ribosomal RNA", at positions 524 to 776 of the family's 1533-position model. The record is from RNAcentral.